GCCGGCGUGGCGAAAUGGCGAUACGCGCCGCUUUUAGGUGGCGGUGCCCGAGAGGGCGUGCGGGUUCGAGUCCCGCCGCCGGCACCA
This 87-nucleotide transfer RNA is filed under the name Xylanimonas protaetiae. Its description in RNAcentral is "Xylanimicrobium sp. FW10M-9 tRNA-Leu". It matches the Rfam family "tRNA". From Rfam's summary of the family: Transfer RNA (tRNA) molecules are approximately 80 nucleotides in length. The record is from RNAcentral. Lineage: Bacteria; Bacillati; Actinomycetota; Actinomycetes; Micrococcales; Promicromonosporaceae.